AUCCAAGAGUUCUGGAAUGUUGAAGUGCCAAGUGACACAUGGUGGAGACGUGCAGGAAUUUAUCUUCAGGAUUCAAUCUUUUGACCAGGAAAUAGGCUGGUGCUGGUGGAGGUUCAUCAUUGUGGCUGUGGGUGUAGCAACACUCAUAACGGGUUCAGUUUUCAUGUUAAAUUCUUCUAUUUAUUCAAUGCUCAUGUUCAUUAUAGUUUAAAUAAAUCACAUUUUGUGCCUAAUGGUGUUAAUGUAAUGUCAUGGAUGUCUUUACAGUUUAUCACUUUUAGUUUGUGCUACAUUGAUGCCCAAAGAUCACAAAAGCUAUAUCAUGUUGAAAUCUAAUGUCCAGAGAGUGAAUGAGUUUGUCAUCAUGCUGUAUGUCACAGGUAUGUAAUGAUGAAAAUUUCGACAGUGAAAUAUGGAAGUAGAAGAUCUGAUGGACACUGACUGAUCCUUCUGCGUCUGUCAGACUUCAGUAAUGUGAUGGAAAAUGUUAAGAUUCUGUGCUUCUCUUUGUUAUACAGGCCUAACUGAAAUGAA
Maylandia zebra (zebra mbuna) is the source of this 534-nucleotide non-coding RNA. NCBI's taxonomy places the organism in Eukaryota, Metazoa, Chordata, Actinopteri, Cichliformes, Cichlidae. The record is from RefSeq and is a predicted model, not a curated record.